This 500-nucleotide ribosomal RNA is filed under the name uncultured bacterium. RNAcentral describes it as "partial 16S ribosomal RNA". It matches the Rfam family "Bacterial small subunit ribosomal RNA", at positions 30 to 523 of the family's 1533-position model. The record is from RNAcentral.
AUUGAACGCUGGCGGAAUGCUUUACACAUGCAAGUCGAACGGCAGCACGGGGGCAACCCUGGUGGCGAGUGGCGAACGGGUGAGUAAUACAUCGGAACGUGCCCAGUCGUGGGGGAUAACGUAGCGAAAGUUACGCUAAUACCGCAUACGAUCUACGGAUGAAAGCGGGGGACCGUAAGGCCUCGCGCGAUUGGAGCGGCCGAUGUCAGAUUAGGUAGUUGGUGAGGUAAAGGCUCACCAAGCCGACGAUCUGUAGCUGGUCUGAGAGGACGACCAGCCACACUGGGACUGAGACAGGGCCCAGACUCCUAAGGGAGGCAGCAGGGGGGAAUUUUGGACAAUGGGCGCAAGCCUGAUCCAGCCAUUCCGCGUGCAGGACGAAGGCAUUCGGGUUGUAAACUGCUUUUGUACGGAACGAAAAGGCUCUGGUUAAUACCUGGGGCUCAUGACGGUACCGUAAGAAUAAGCACCGGCUAACUACGUGCCAGCAGCCGCCGUAA